AUUCCUGACCUCAAGUGAUCCACCCGCCUCAGCCUCCCAAAGUGCUGGGAUUACAGGCAUGAGCCACCAGGCCCAGCUAUUCUUUUUUGUUGAUAAGUAAUAUUCCAUUGUAUAAAUAGACCACAUUUUAUUUCUCCAUGCAUCGGUUGGUGGACAUUUAGGUCAUUACUACUUCAUGACUAUUAUGAAUAGCCAUAUGAAUGCUUCCAUGAAUAUUCGUGCUCAAGUUUUCACGUGAACAUAUAUUUUCAGUUUUCUUGGUAUAUGCUCAGGAGUGUAAUUGCUGGGUCAUAUGGCAGCUUUCUUUGAGGAACUGUCAGACUGUUUCCCAAAGCAGCUGCACCAUUUCCCAUUCUCACCAGCAGUGGUGAGGGUUCCAAUUUCUCCACAUCCUUGCCGACACUUUUUAUUAUCUUUUUCAGUAUAGCCAUUGCAGUGGAUGUCAAGUGGUAUCUUAUGUGGUUAUAAUUCCUAAUGGCUAAGGAUGUUGACCUUUUUUUCCAGUUUACUUUUGAAUUCUCUCUAACUCCCCUGUGCCUGCUUAUUUAGGUCCUAGCCAUCUCCUUUUUUUUUUUUUUUUUUUCAAGAGACAAGGUCUUGCUCUGUGGCCCAGGCUGGAGUGCAGUGGCACAAUCAUAGCUCACUGCAGCCUCAAACUCCUGGACUCAAGCCAUCCUCCUCCUUCAACCUCCUGAGUAGCUGGCACUAUGGCACUAUUUUUUGUAAAGAGAGGGUCUUGCUAUGUUGGCCAGGCUGGUCUCAAACUCCUGGGCUCAAGCCAUCCUCCCACCUCAGCCUCCUGAGUAGUUGCAAUUACAGGCUCCAGCCACUGCACCUGGCACUCACUGCACCUGGCACUCACCGUCUCCUCUCUGACUGAUUUGCAUGCCUCCUAACUGGGCUUUCCAUUUUCCAUUUCACUCCCUAUGAUGCAAUCCUGGACCAUGUCACUUUCUGUUUAAAACCUUGAAUGACUCCCUAUUGCCCACAGGACAGAGCCUGCACUUUGAAGUAUGGCAUUCAAGACCCUUCACAGUCAGUCUCCACCCUAUCUUUCUGGGUCCCAUUUCCCUCUGUCCCCUCCAGUGCAGCCAUCCUGUGCCUUUGCCCAUGCUGUUCUCUCUUAUAAUCCCUUCCCUGAAGUGUCCCUACUCAGUACCUACUUAUCCUUUAAAACCUAGCUCAGGCAGGGUGCAGUGGCUCACGCCUUUAAUCCCAGCACUUUGGGAGGACAAGGUGGGAAGAUGGCUUGAGCUCAGGAGUUCGAGACCAGCCUGGGCAACAUGGUGAAACCCCGUCCCUACGAAAAAUACAAAAAUUAGCCGGGCAUGGUGCUGUGUGCCUGUAAUCCCAGCUACUUGGGAGGCUGAGGUGGGAGGAUCACUUGAGCCCAGGAGGCUGAGGCUGCAGUGAGCUGUGAUUGUACCACUGCAUUUUAGACUGGGCAGCAGAGUGAGACUCUGUCUCAAAAAAAAAAAAAAACCCUAGCUCAGACAGAAACUUCUGAGUGAAGCCUGUCUAAGAUCACCUCCAGACAGGGCCCUCCUGCUGUACAACUCCAAGGGAGGUGAUUCUCAUGGUCAUCUAUGUCAGGAUCAGCAAAGUCCAGCCCAUAGGCCAAAUCCACAAAUCCAGCCCACCACCUGUUUUUGUGUGUUGCAUGAACUAAGAAUGAUUUUCAUUUUUGAACAGAUGUAAAUAAUUUAAAAGUAAAAUGAAAAGUGGAAUACAGCCAUGCUUAUUUGUUUACAUAUUGUCUAUUGCUACUUUCGUGCUACAAGAGCAGAGAUGGUGGCCCACAAAGCAUAAAAUAUUUACUAUUGGCUGGGUGCAGUAGCUCACACCUGUAAUCCCAUCAUUUUGGGAGGCCAAGGCAGGAGGAUCUCGAGGUCAGGGGUUCG
RNAcentral lists this long non-coding RNA (1901 nucleotides) under Homo sapiens (human). RNAcentral's name for it is "HSALNT0230544". Lineage: Eukaryota; Metazoa; Chordata; Mammalia; Primates; Hominidae. The record is from RNAcentral.